GGACGAACGCUGGCGGCGUGCCUAACACAUGCAAGUCGAGCGGGAAUCUACAAAAUGAAGCUUCGGCAGAUUUUGUAGAGGAUAGCGGCGGACGGGUGAGUAACGCGUGAGUAACCUGCCCUUAAGAGGGGGAUAACACACCGAAAGGUGUGCUAAUACCGCAUAACAUAUGUUUACCGCAUGAUAGACAUAUCAAAGAUUUAUUGCUGAGAGAUGGCCUCGCGUCUGAUUAGCUAGUUGGUGGGGUAACGGCCCACCAAGGCGACGAUCAGUAGCCGGACUGAGAGGUUGACCGGCCACAUUGGGACUGAGAUACGGCCCAGACUCCUACGGGAGGCAGCAGUGGGGAAUAUUGGGCAAUGGGCGCAAGCCUGACCCAGCAACGCCGCGUGAAGGAAGAAGGCUUUCGGGUUGUAAACUUCUUUUGUCGAGGAAGAGUAGAAGACUGUACUCGGCGAAUAAGCCACGGCUAACUACGUG
This 480-nucleotide ribosomal RNA is filed under the name uncultured bacterium. Its description in RNAcentral is "bacterial SSU rRNA". It matches the Rfam family "Bacterial small subunit ribosomal RNA", at positions 27 to 507 of the family's 1533-position model. The record is from RNAcentral.